Molecule: ribosomal RNA, 473 nt
Filed under: uncultured bacterium
Lineage: Bacteria
Description: bacterial SSU rRNA
Rfam family: Bacterial small subunit ribosomal RNA
Source: RNAcentral
GGAAUCUUGGACAAUGGGCGCAAGCCUGAUCCAGCCAUGCCGCGUGAGUGAUGAAGGCCUUAGGGUUGUAAAACUCUUUCGUCGGGGACGAUAAUGACGGUACCCGAAGAAGAAGCUCCGGCUAACUUCGUGCCAGCAGCCGCGGUAAUACGAAGGGGGCUAGCGUUGUUCGGAUUUACUGGGCGUAAAGCGCGUGUAGGCGGGCUGGUAAGUUGGGGGUGAAAUCCCGAGGCUCAACCUCGGAACUGCCUCCAAAACUGUCAGCCUGGAGCAAGAUAGAGGCGAGUGGAAUUGCGAGUGUAGAGGUGAAAUUCGUAGAUAUUCGCAGGAACACCAGUGGCGAAGGCGACUCGCUGGAUCUUUGCUGACGCUGAGACGCGAAAGCGUGGGGAGCAAACAGGAUUAGAUACCCUGGUAGUCCACGCUGUAAACGAUGAGAGCUAGUUGUCGGCACGCAUGCGUGUCGGUGACGC